Carassius carassius (crucian carp) is the source of this 538-nucleotide long non-coding RNA. RefSeq lists it as uncharacterized. The transcript has 2 exons. Lineage: Eukaryota; Metazoa; Chordata; Actinopteri; Cypriniformes; Cyprinidae. The record is from RefSeq and is a predicted model, not a curated record.
UAAAAAAUAUAGAAGAAAAAAAAACGUGUUAAAGUUUCCUAAAGCUUAUAUUUGUAAUAAUUCAUUUCAUGACUCUAAAGUAGAAUAUUUAGAAGAUUUCUAAAACCAUCUAAAAGGUUCAGCUAGAAUCUUUGUCUCUAUUUCCUUUGUAAGUGUUGUUUAUGUUCUGUAAGUAGUGUAAUUGCUAGUUUCUAAUGUACAGAAUAAAUGUUGUGUGGGGGUCCGUAAUGAUUUGAAGGGAGAAGAGUGGAGAAGAGAAGAAAAGAGAGAGUGAGGAAGAUGAGGAGGAGGCGUAUGAACGACGGAGGCUGGAGAGGAAGCUAUGUGAAAAGGAUGCAGCCUAUCAGGAGAGCACUGCUUCUAUCUCUGGAGCUCUGUAGUCUCCUGCUUCUGGAUCAUCUGCCCUUCUUUAUUCUCAAAUACUGGACAAACAGAACUGUGCUUGAAACCAAACACAGUAAGAUACUGUGAUGUUUGUCUUUUGCAGCGGCUGAAGAACUGGGAGAUCAGAGAGAGGAAAAAAGCAAAGGAUUACAGU